GAAGACGGUCGGGUAGUCGCUGUUGCCAUGCAAUAGAGGAAAGUCCGGGCUCCAUAGGGCAAGUCGCCAGGUAACGCCUGGGAGGCGCAAGCCUACGGAUAGUGCCACAGAAAAUAUACCGCCUGCUUCGGCAGGUAAGGGUGAAAAGGUGCGGUAAGAGCGCACCGCGCUGCCGGUAACGGCAGUGGCAGGGUAAACCCCGGCUGGAGCAAGACCAAAUAGGGAAGCUGAUGCUGUUGCCCGCAGUUGCUUCCGGGUAGGUUGCUUGAGGCGUCCGGUGACGGGCGUCCCAGAUGAAUGACUAUCACGGCAGCUUCGGUUGCUGACAGAACCCGGCUUACAGACCGUCUUCCCAU
RNAcentral lists this RNase P RNA (356 nucleotides) under Thiolapillus brandeum. Its description in RNAcentral is "Bacterial RNase P class A". It matches the Rfam family "Bacterial RNase P class A". Rfam says of the family: Ribonuclease P (RNase P) is a ubiquitous endoribonuclease, found in archaea, bacteria and eukarya as well as chloroplasts and mitochondria. Its best characterised activity is the generation of mature 5'-ends of tRNAs by cleaving the 5'-leader elements of precursor-tRNAs. Lineage: Bacteria; Pseudomonadati; Pseudomonadota; Gammaproteobacteria; Chromatiales; Sedimenticolaceae. The record is from Rfam by way of RNAcentral.